Molecule: ribosomal RNA, 499 nt
Filed under: uncultured bacterium
Lineage: Bacteria
Description: partial 16S ribosomal RNA
Rfam family: Bacterial small subunit ribosomal RNA
Source: RNAcentral
GACGAACGCUGGCGGCGUGCUUAACACAUGCAAGUCGAACGGGCCCGCUCUCUUUUUUGGGGGUGGGUUGAGUGGCGAACGGGUGAGUAUCACGUGAGUAACCUGCCCCCUGCUCCUGGAUAACUGCUUGAAAGGGCGGCUAAUACGGGGUGUGCCGGCUGGUCCGCAUGGGCCUGGUCGGGAUAGUUUCAUCUUCGGGUGUUUCGGUGGGGGAUGGGCUCGCGGCCUAUCAGCUUGUUGGUGGGGUGAUGGCCCACCAAGGCGGUGACGGGUAGCCGGCCUGAGAGGGUGGGCGGCCACACUGGGACUGAGACACGGCCCAGACUCCUGCGGGAGGCAGCAGUGGGGGGUAUUGCACAAUGGGCGGAAGCCUGAUGCAGCGACGUCGCGUGAGGGAUGGAGGCCUUCGGGUUGUGUACCUCUUUCUCCGGUGGUGAAGGCCCUGUCCGUUGCGGCGGGGUUGACGGUAGCCGGGUAUGAAGCGCCGGCUAACUACGUG